This 863-nucleotide ribosomal RNA is filed under the name uncultured bacterium. RNAcentral's name for it is "bacterial SSU rRNA". It matches the Rfam family "Bacterial small subunit ribosomal RNA", at positions 94 to 948 of the family's 1533-position model. The record is from RNAcentral.
AGCGGCGGACGGGUGAGUAAUGCCUAGGAAUCUGCCUGAUAGUGGGGGACAACGUUUCGAAAGGAACGCUAAUACCGCAUACGUCCUACGGGAGAAAGCAGGGGACCUUCGGGCCUUGCGCUAUCAGAUGAGCCUAGGUCGGAUUAGCUAGUUGGUGAGGUAACGGCUCACCAAGGCGACGAUCCGUAACUGGUCUGAGAGGAUGAUCAGUCACACUGGAACUGAGACACGGUCCAGACUCCUACGGGAGGCAGCAGUGGGGAAUAUUGGACAAUGGGCGAAAGCCUGAUCCAGCCAUGCCGCGUGUGUGAAGAAGGUCUUCGGAUUGUAAAGCACUUUAAGUUGGGAGGAAGGGCAUUAACCUAAUACGUUAGUGUUUUGACGUUACCGACAAAAUAAGCACCGGCUAACUUCGUGCCAGCAGCCGCGGUAAUACGAAGGGUGCAAGCGUUAAUCGGAAUUACUGGGCGUAAAGCGCGCGUAGGUGGUUUGUUAAGUUGAAUGUGAAAGCCCCGGGCUCAACCUGGGAACUGCAUCCAAAACUGGCAAGCUAGAGUAUGGCAGAGGGUGGUGGAAUUUCCUGUGUAGCGGUGAAAUGCGUAGAUAUAGGAAGGAACACCAGUGGCGAAGGCGACCACCUGGGCUAAUACUGACACUGAGGUGCGAAAGCGUGGGGAGCAAAACAGGAUUUAGAUACCCUGGUAGUCCACGCCGUAAACGAUGUCGACUAGCCGUUGGGAUCCUUGAGAUCUUAGUGGCGCAGCUAACGCAUUAAAGUUCGACCGCCUGGGGAGUACGGCCGCAAGGUUAAAACUCAAAUGAAUUGACGGGGGCCCGCACAAGCGGUUGGAGCAUGUGGUUUA